UACGUAGGUGGCGAGCGUUGUCCGGAAUUACUGGGUGUAAAGGGCGUGUAGGCGGGAAUACAAGUCAGAUGUGAAAUACCGAGGCUUAACCUCGGGGCUGCAUCUGAAACUGUGUUUCUUGAGUGUCGGAGAGGAAAGUGGAAUUCCCAGUGUAGCGGUGAAAUGCGUAGAUAUUGGGAGGAACACCAGUGGCGAAGGCGACUUUCUGGACGAUAACUGACGCUGAGGCGCGAAAGCGUGGGGAGCAAACAGG
This 253-nucleotide ribosomal RNA is filed under the name uncultured bacterium. Its description in RNAcentral is "partial 16S ribosomal RNA". It matches the Rfam family "Bacterial small subunit ribosomal RNA", at positions 524 to 776 of the family's 1533-position model. The record is from RNAcentral.